Long non-coding RNA from Astatotilapia calliptera (eastern happy), 302 nucleotides. NCBI's taxonomy places the organism in Eukaryota, Metazoa, Chordata, Actinopteri, Cichliformes, Cichlidae. The record is from Ensembl.
GUGGAAGGAAACCGUGACCUAGGACAAGCUGAUGGCAUAAGAUCCUGUUUCCCUUCAUCUGCGGCAACAAUGGAGGCCUUUAUCAACCUGCUUCUCAGACAGUCACACCUGGGGACUGACCAGCAGCAGCAGCAGUGUCUGAUGUUUCCCUCCCCUCCUCAGUGUUUUUGGGUUAUGAUCAGCGUGGAUCAGGAUUCAAGUGAUGAACAGCUUCAGAGCCUUAGGCUGUAAACAGGAUUACUAAAUCUCUGGAUGCUCUCCAGAUGUUGCUGCUUUGUUUGUUUCAGAACUGUCUUCUCCUC